UACGGGGGGAGCAAGCGUUGUUCGGAUUACUGGCGUAAAGGGCGCGUAGGCGGUCGUGACAAGUCACUUGUGAAAUCUCCGGGCUUAACUCGGAACGGUCAAGUGAUACUGUCGGACUAGAGUACAGAAGGGGCAACUGGAAUUCUCGGUGUAGCGGUGAAAUGCGUAGAUAUCGAGAGGAACACCUGCGGCGAAGGCGGGUUGCUGGGCUGACACUGACGCUGAUGCGCGAAAGCUAGGGGAGCGAAGCGGG
RNAcentral lists this ribosomal RNA (253 nucleotides) under uncultured bacterium. Its description in RNAcentral is "partial 16S ribosomal RNA". It matches the Rfam family "Bacterial small subunit ribosomal RNA", at positions 524 to 777 of the family's 1533-position model. The record is from RNAcentral.